GUUGUAUAGUCAAGUAAUUAAGUGCAUGUGGUGGAUGCCUUGGCAGUCAGAGGCGAUGAAAGACGUGAUAGCCUGCGAAAAGCUCCGGGGAGGCGGCAAAUAUCCUUUGAUCCGGAGAUGUCUGAAUGGGGGAACCCACCUACUUUAAGGUAGGUAUUGCAACAUGAAUACAUAGUGUUGCAAGGCGAACGAGGGGAAGUGAAACAUCUCAGUACCCUUAGGAAAAGAAAUCAAUUGAGAUUCCCUCAGUAGCGGCGAGCGAACGGGGAUCAGCCCAUUAAGUUAUGUGUGUUUUAGUGGAACGCUCUGGGAAGUGCGAACGUAGAGGGUGAUAUUCCCGUACACGAAAGGGCACACAUAAUGAUGACGAGUAGGGCGAGGCACGUGAAACCUUGUCUGAAUAUGGGGGGACCAUCCUCCAAGGCUAAAUACUCCUGACUGACCGAUAGUGAACCAGUACCGUGAGGGAAAGGCGAAAAGAACCCCUGUGAGGGGAGUGAAAUAGAUCCUGAAACCGCAUGCAUACAAGCAGUGGGAGCACCUUCGUGGUGUGACUGCGUACCUUUUGUAUAAUGGGUCAGCGACUUAUAUUCAGUAGCGAGGUUAACCGUAUAGGGGAGCCGUAGAGAAAUCGAGUCUUAAUAGGGCGUUUAGUUGCUGGGUAUAGACCCGAAACCAGGCGAUCUAUCCAUGAGCAGGUUGAAGGUUGGGUAACACUAACUGGAGGACCGAACCCACUGUCGUUGAAAAGCCAGGGGAUGACUUGUGGAUAGGGGUGAAAGGCUAAUCAAGCC
Molecule: ribosomal RNA, 794 nt
Filed under: Acinetobacter baumannii
Lineage: Bacteria; Pseudomonadati; Pseudomonadota; Gammaproteobacteria; Moraxellales; Moraxellaceae
Description: bacterial LSU rRNA
Rfam family: Bacterial large subunit ribosomal RNA
Source: RNAcentral